ACUCCUACGGGAGGCAGCAGUGGGGAAUCUUGGACAAUGGGGGAAACCCUGAUCCAGCAAUGCCGCGUGUGUGAAGAAGGCCUUCGGGUUGUAAAGCACUUUCGAUAGGGAAGAAAAGCUGGUUGUGAAUAACAGCCAGUCUUGACGUUACCUAGAGAAGAAGCACCGGCUAACUCUGUGCCAGCAGCCGCGGUAAUA
Molecule: ribosomal RNA, 198 nt
Filed under: uncultured bacterium
Lineage: Bacteria
Description: partial 16S ribosomal RNA
Rfam family: Bacterial small subunit ribosomal RNA
Source: RNAcentral